Molecule: small RNA, 260 nt
Filed under: Arabidopsis thaliana (thale cress)
Lineage: Eukaryota; Viridiplantae; Streptophyta; Magnoliopsida; Brassicales; Brassicaceae
Description: ATSL171120
Source: RNAcentral
CUCUCUCUCUCUCUCUCUCUCUCUCUCUCUCUCUCCACGUCUCCAUAACUUUUGGAGAAGUUUCGUAAACAAUUCGAUCUCAAUUAUCUUAGGAAUUUGGUAAAAGUUCUAUGUCCAUAAGGUCUUGGAGGUGGAGGUGUCUGCAAACUGUAAGAAAAAUCAACAAACAAUUUUUUGGUGUCCAUAAUAAUGAGUCCAUUUAAAUAUAUCCAUUCAGAAAACUUUUUACUGAUUCAUAUUCAUUCUAAAUACCUUUUUUU